UUAUACCGGUGUCAGACUGCGAGCUGGAACAUCGGGCAAUUACUACAAUUCUAUGUACACACACCUCUUCCAUGCUGGGAUUAUAGUCUUGCCAGACGUUUUCCACCGCCGAUGGGAAAAUAGCAAUUACAUCGAUGACUACUUUCUAGCAUGUUUGAGCUGGUUCUGUAGGGUGAAAAGUAAAGAUUAUUUGGACAGCAUAGUUAACUGCACAGUGUAUGUGUACUUGCAAGUGUCUGUGAGUCAGUGUGUUUGACAGGGCUGGAGUUAAGGGGCUCCCUCUUACUGUGAAAACUAUGCUGUAACUUUGGGACGAUCUUUUCGGGCUUAUGUUGUCCAGUGGAUGAGCUCUGGAGGAUUCAAAGCGAAGCUUCAUUCUGCAUUGCAGCGUAACAAGUUUUACGUGUUUUUCUCUUUACUGGGUGUGAAGAGUACCCCUUUAAUUUAUGUAUCUGGUGAGAAAAACCUGAAGACGGAUCUGGGAAGUGAGAUAUAAAGAAAAGCUUAAAGUAUAGUAUUUGAUUUACUUUCGGAAGUGAUUGUAUUUUUCACAUGAACGCUUACAGAAACUAUUUCACGGAAUUGUCCAAAACUGAAUGAAAUGUUAGGUAACAUCAUAUGGAUGUCAUGACAAUGGAAGAUGUGAAUUGUAACUGACUGGUUUUACAAGAUGGUACAAUGGAUGACAUAAACAGCUCUAACUCUAAGCACAAAGAUUCUAAUGGAUUUGUUAAUAAAGUAUUUAAUAUUUCCCUAGACGUGGAGAAUACAACAGGCAUAAUGAGAAUACAGGAACCUGACCUCUGUGAAACACCUGUUGUGUGUCAGGGUGUAGGUAAGGAGAAAGUGGAAUUAAACAGGAAGCCUAAAAACACUGGAAUCUGGAGAAUCAUCACCAGGAAGAAGAAUCCAACAGGAUAUGGAAGAAGGCCCCAUUCUAUGAUUCUUCCUGGAGAGACUGUGGUACCUAAGUUAUCAUUUGUAGACAAGGUGAAAUCUUUCAAGAAACUGAAGUCUACAUCAGUUUUUAGAGGGAAAGGAAGCAAGAAUGCAAAGUUCAGCACUAUUCUUAAAGAUGAACAGGAAGAGGAGUCACACUUCAGAGACCCCUCCUCCCACGUAUUUUCACAAAGGAACUUGUUCAGAAAUCGAGGUAAAAGACAUUCCUACGCAGGCUGCACCAAAGACUUUGACUGCUCAUUUGAAGAUGUAGACAUUACAGUACCUUCUGAAAACAUUGAUAAUGAAAACCAAUGGCUCAGGGAACUCUCAAAUCAUCAGAAUGGUUUUAAAUCCAUUGAGGGUGUGUCUUACAUAAAGAGGACACAUACCAAUUUCUCAAACUGUAACAAUGCAACUCUGCUUGAAGAAUACAGUAUAAAGGACUGCCCAAAGACAUUUCAGGGAGGAAGAAAAUCUAAAGGUGCUGAUGUUUGGAGUUACCUAAGGAAAAUUUCUUUUAUUGGGAAAGGGAACUCAAAUCUAGCAGAAAAAAGUUUUGACUCUGAAUUAAAUACCUUUGACAAGACAAUUGAUUCAGAUUGUGCCUCCUCUGACUUUGAAUGUAUCAGAGAUCCUAACUCCUCCCCUAAACACGCAAGUGCUGAUACCAAAGGUAAUCAUUUUGGUGGUUUAUUCAGGUGGUUUAGUAAUGUGGCUGAAACAGCAAGGAAGUGGAGAAACUCUUCACGGUCUUUUUCACCCCCAGAAGAAGGCCACUCUUCUUUGGGAACUCAUAGUGCUCAGAGAUCUGGUGAGUUUAGUCAAGUUAUAUCAUUAAGCUCAAAGAAUGAAACUAAGAUCAUGUCCCCAACUCCCAAGACUGUUCUGUCCUCAGACCCAAGUUUAUGUGAUACCCUUUCAUCUCCUAGUUUAAUAGGAGAAUCUCCACAGGUGACUUUAAAGUCAUGGAGAACCUGUCCAGAUUCCCCCAGUCCUAAUGGAUACCUGUCUGUAGCAGCUGAAGCAUCUCCACACUCACCUCACAAAUUGGUGGCUUCUAUAGAGAAUCGCGAAAGCCACAUACCUGCUGAAAGUGGGAUUUGCCUUGAAAAAGAACCAGAGUCAGAUAGAACUUCAAGCCACAAUGAUACAGGAAAUUGUCUAGAUUCCAUGAAUGACUUUGUUUCUACCAAAGAAAGACAGGAUCAAACUGGGCACAAGAAUGAUGAAAAUGAAGAAAAUUACUCAAACAGCAAAACUGCUCCACAUCACUCAGGAAAUAAGGAUCUGCCCGAUGACCACUGUUUGGAGAUGGAAAACCAACAUGUCCCAAGCCUGUCAGAGCUCAACAGCUCCUCUUUAAUCGUCACUUCACCAAAAUGGAAGAAGCGUCGCCCAACCUCAGCCUACACUAUGAUUCUGAACCUACAGAGUCCAAUUCUAGAGGAGGGGUCUGUUUCAGCCUUUGAAGCCAAGACUGGCCAUGUGGAUGAAGACCCAACAGCUUUGAAAAGCCAGAUUUUUCCUAACAAUCAGUCUGACGUCCCCCUGAAAAGGCCAGUUAUGCGACAGAGACCUCAUUCUGUAAUAGAUGGGGCUUCUGUCACCAAGACAGAGUCUCUGCAUCCUCUCAGACCACUCUCUCGUCCUCCAGGACACUCUCCCUGUGGUUCAUCUUUUAAAGCCGCACUGCAAAGAUGUCAUUCUCUGCCACUUUCACAGAGCACUCCAGCAGGCUUGGAUGAAGCAGGCUGGAGCCACUUGCUGCACCAACCAGCUGAGGCCAUGUUGACACGUGAUGGUGAUGGAGGCACAAGCAGGAGGCGGAGGCUAAUAAGGCCUGGAGCUGAACAGCUGCUAGUCAAUAAUGUAAGUGAAAGAGAAAAUGCUUUCUCAGUCUUUAGACCGCACACCAAAAGGUCAUUGAGCUGUGCGGUAAAGCACACAUUUCACAGGCAAAUGUAGACGCAGUUUAUUUUCAUGUCUUUCUCCAAAGACGGAAGUCUUCAGUUGUCAUAAAUUGGCACAAACCAGCAAGAGGAGCUUAAAAGCUGGUAUACUAUGUUAUAAUUGGGUAAUAGUCUUGGGAAUAAAUGCUGUAAAUACUCAAAAAGGUAUUCUUGUCUGUCAACAUGGGUAUAUUCACCAUUAUACAUGUAUUCCAGCCAGCGUGUCGCCAU
Molecule: long non-coding RNA, 3122 nt
Organism: Lepisosteus oculatus (spotted gar)
Lineage: Eukaryota; Metazoa; Chordata; Actinopteri; Semionotiformes; Lepisosteidae
Source: Ensembl